CUCUGCUUCCACCUGGUUACGUUUGGUGAGGAACAGACGGACCGCAUAAAAAGCGUUUUGCCCCGUGACAGUUCUGGCUGUACAUCAGGGACAGGCAUGAGUAAAACCGAAGCACACAACCCGGUGUUGGCGACGCAGUUCGUUCCACGCUGUUCGUGGUCCUGUGUGCUCCGACAAACGAUUUGCGAUGUGGAGAGAUUCCCGUUCUUUCGGAAGACAAAUGGAUACUUUAGAAAGAUUUCAAAGAUGUGUCUUCUCUUCGCUGACUGCGAGUACGCACUUGCGACCCAGGAACAAGACCGUGCCUCCUGGCCUGAGGGAUUUUUCUUGGGUGUUUGUCACGGUUGUCCGAUGACGCUUUUCCCUCUGCUUUCUUGAUUCAGGACAAAAUAUAAGCCAGCUACACAUAGGAAGGGGAAUCGUCAGCUCACAAUGACCCUGCUACCAAUCGCCUCCUGCCAAAACAACGAAGCGAAUGCGCGGUUGUUCCCUAUCCGCGAAGGAAACAGCAACGCCACGCAGAAAUUUGCCUUCUACGUACAACGUUGCACUGUUGCCACCCACCUCUGCGCGCCUAUUGUUCACGUGUCACAAAGAAAUACCCGACCAACGCAGUGCACAGAGAUGGUAGUAAAGACCGAGUCCAGAACGAGCACUCGCUUUUAUUACAGAAACGAGGUAGUGUUUCCGUCCGUCCUUGUCAUGUGAACGUGUAUCCAAACAGUCGCCCGUGGAUCAACAAUCACAAGAAAACGUGGGCAACUGAAUGAGAUACACAAUGAUUCGCUAAACCGCAUCCGUCUCCCUUCAGGAAUACCCUGAACCGUUAACACCAACAGCUACCUACUGACCGAAUGAACCAGGCGACGUCUUUGGGGACAACACCGGCCACACCCAUACCUUUCUCGUGGAACGUCUACGUUCAGUUCAGUGAAGCCUGGUGGUUGCAGUGUUGUUCUAGGAUUUCCGCUUUCUUCUUUUGGAAGAACGGCUGAUCUCGACUUUCCGUCCUUCCAAGAACUGUGCUUAUGUACUG
Molecule: long non-coding RNA, 1036 nt
Filed under: Toxoplasma gondii VEG
Lineage: Eukaryota; Apicomplexa; Conoidasida; Eucoccidiorida; Sarcocystidae
Source: RNAcentral